RNAcentral lists this ribosomal RNA (253 nucleotides) under uncultured bacterium. RNAcentral's name for it is "partial 16S ribosomal RNA". It matches the Rfam family "Bacterial small subunit ribosomal RNA", at positions 524 to 776 of the family's 1533-position model. The record is from RNAcentral.
GACGAACCGUGCGAACGUUAUUCGGAAUCAUUGGGCUUAAAGGGCGCGUAGGCGGGCUGGCAAGUCAGGGGUGAAAGCCCACGGCUCAACCGUGGAAGUGCCUUUGAUACUGCCAGUCUGGAGGGAGGUAGGGGCGUGCGGAACUUCCGGUGGAGCGGUGAAAUGCGUAGAUAUCGGAAGGAACACCGGUGGCGAAAGCGGCGCGCUGGACCUCUUCUGACGCUGAGGCGCGAAAGCCAGGGGAGCGAACGGG